GAUGAACGCUGGCGGCGUGCCUAAUACAUGCAAGUCGAGCGAACAGACGAGGAGCUUGCUCCUCUGACGUUAGCGGCGGACGGGUGAGUAACACGUGGAUAACCUACCUAUAAGACUGGGAUAACUUCGGGAAACCGGAGCUAAUACCGGAUAAUAUAUUGAACCGCAUGGUUCAAUAGUGAAAGACGGUUUUGCUGUCACUUAUAGAUGGAUCCGCGCCGCAUUAGCUAGUUGGUAAGGUAACGGCUUACCAAGGCAACGAUGCGUAGCCGACCUGAGAGGGUGAUCGGCUACACUGGAAGUGAGACACAGUCCAGACUCCUACGGGGGGAAGCAGUAGGGAAUCUUCCGGAAUGGGGGAAAGCCUGACGGAGCAACGCCGCGUGAGUGAUGAAGGUCUUCGGAUCGUAAAACUAUGUUAUUAGGAAAGAAGAAAUGUGUAAGUAACUAUGAACGUCUUGACGGUACCUAAUCAGAAAGCCACGGCUAACUACGUG
This 497-nucleotide ribosomal RNA is filed under the name uncultured bacterium. RNAcentral describes it as "partial 16S ribosomal RNA". It matches the Rfam family "Bacterial small subunit ribosomal RNA", at positions 28 to 507 of the family's 1533-position model. The record is from RNAcentral.